GAUGAACGCUGGCGGCGUGCCUAAUACAUGCAAGUCGAGCGAACAGAUGAGGAGCUUGCUCCUCUGACGUUAGCGGCGGACGGGUGAGUAACACGUGGAUACCCUACCUAUCAGACUGGGAUAACUUCGGGAAACCGGCGCUAAUACCGGAUAAUAUAUUGAACCGCAUGGUUCAAUAGUGAAAGACGGUUUUGCUGUCACUUAUAGAUGGAUCCGCGCCGCAUUAGCUAGUUGGUAAGGUAACGGCUUACCAAGGCAACGAUGCGUAGCCGACCUGAGAGGGGGAUCGGCCACACGGGAACUGAGACGCGGACCAGACUACUACGGGAGGCAGCAGUAGGGAAUGUUCCGCAAAGGGCGAAAGCAUGACGGAGCAACGCCGCGUGAGUGAUGAAGGUCUUCGGAGCGUAAAACUCGGUUAUGAGGGAAGAACAAAUGUGUAAGUAACUAUGCACGUCUUGACGGUACCUAAUCAGAAAGCCACGGCUAACUACGUG
RNAcentral lists this ribosomal RNA (497 nucleotides) under uncultured bacterium. RNAcentral describes it as "partial 16S ribosomal RNA". It matches the Rfam family "Bacterial small subunit ribosomal RNA", at positions 28 to 507 of the family's 1533-position model. The record is from RNAcentral.